Molecule: ribosomal RNA, 502 nt
Filed under: uncultured bacterium
Lineage: Bacteria
Description: bacterial SSU rRNA
Rfam family: Bacterial small subunit ribosomal RNA
Source: RNAcentral
AGAGUUUGAUCAUGGCUCAGAUUGAACGCUGGCGGAAUGCUUUACACAUGCAAGUCGAACGGCAGCACGGGGCAACCUGGUGGCGAGUGGCGAACGGGUGAGUAAUACAUCGGAACGUGCCCAAUCGUGGGGGAUAACGUAGCGAAAGUUACGCUAAUACCGCAUACGAUCUACGGAUGAAAGCGGGGGAUCGCAAGACCUCGCGCGAAUGGAGCGGCCGAUGUCAGAUUAGGUAGUUGGUGGGGUAAAGGCCCACCAAGCCAACGAUCUGUAGCUGGUCUGAGAGGACGACCAGCCACACUGGAACUGAGACACGGUCCAGACUCCUACGGGAGGCAGCAGUGGGGAAUUUUGGACAAUGGGCGCAAGCCUGAUCCAGCCAUUCCGCGUGCAGGAUGAAGGCCUUCGGGUUGUAAACUGCUUUUGUACGGAACGAAAAGGUCCUGGUUAAUACCUGGGGCUCAUGACGGUACCGUAAGAAUAAGCACCGGCUAACUACGUG